GCUGAGGCUCUGCCGCACCCCGUAGCGCCCCUUGAAACCGUGAGACCACUCGCCGCGGUACAUCCACCUGCCCUUCGUCUCCACGCCCAGCCCGUGGCGCUUGCCCUGCGCCCAGUAGCCCAGGGGAGAGUUGGGUGCCAUAACUGAUACUGUUGUCUCCUGUCAUCAUAAGAAGUGUGUGCUUCAAAGCCUUCUUUCUGUGCUGUAAGAGGAUUUCUAGUUCUGCUUGAAGAUGUGGCGGUAGAAGACAGUGCACACAUUUGGGCGCAUACAUACAAAGAGAAAAAGACCCAGUCAAAGACUUGUGCCUUUUCACAAGAAGAUGGAGAAGCUUUCAAUGCCCCUUUGACCCCGGACAAUUUUGUUCCAUAGUUUUGGAGUGUAGAAAACCAGACAAAAAUGUUGUUUCUGUAACACAGACAUGCAGUCUUCCAUGUAUCUUUGGGCAAGGCUUCAAAGUGUGCUGAAGUUAAGGACUGAGACCUUCACUGCAGUAUGGUAUUUUUGGAAAGCUGUUAUUGGGAAUGGAGGGGAAGUCUGAAAAUGUUGCGGUAGGUGGGAUUGCUGAAGAAGAUACAGUGCAGUAUUCCCUGAGUAUUGCUUGAGCUUACUGAGUUUUAUGCCCUACGUGUCUUGCAUUUCUUCCUCAAGAAAAAGAUUGGAAACAAUAGUGGUGACAAUACAUGUUCUUUGAGGAGUUUACUAUUUUCACUCAAUUUAUUUCCUGUUUUCUUUCUUCCAACAGAAGAUAAAGUCCUGUAAUGUUUGAAAAGAAUUAGGGAAUAUUGAAACACUGUAUGGUUUGGGGAACCACCUGUUGGAAGUCAGCAUGCAUAAUAAAUGAUACUGGUGUAGAAUUUUCUAGGCAUGGAUGUUGCCUAUUCAUAAUUGCAUGUUAUUAUAUGAAUAGACUUUUUUGAAGUUGUUGCAAUUGAACUGGAGCUGCUGAGCAUUGGGUAUGUCUGUUAUGGGGCUACUGUUGUAUUGCAUGGUAUUUCUGGGUGCUGUGUGCAUAAAUGAGGUGUGAAAUCAGAAUUGCCUUGAACAACAAUUCUGUGCCCUGUGCACAGCCAGAACACAACCAGCACGGAGGGGAGCAGAGGUGGGGUGUGGAAACGGAUUAGCAAAUCCAGACAGUGCUGCUGCACCUCGGCAGUGGAAGAGGUGCUCUGGUGAGGGAAUGGGAGAUUUGCCCGGCUCCUCUGUGGAUCUCAGCUGUUUCUUUGAAGGACCAGCUGUGUCCCUCUGCCUAGACAAUAAUCACAGUUGUGCAAAUCCUUUGCCAAGCUGGGUAUCUCUUUUGGCUCAGUAUUGGUAAAUGACUGGAUUUGCUGUUGUAAAGACUGGGGUAAUUACAGCCAUGAUCUGUUACUGUACUGUUAUUUAGCGAUGAAUUGUUUAUCCCUAAAGCUGUGGAUGCUCUGUCUCUUAGGGUAUCCCAAGCCUAUAGCUAAUCAGGGCUGCCUUAAGUUCUAGUAUCUUUACAGUAGAAGAUGUAGCAUUGCAAAAAUUAAAUAGGCAUCUGCCUAUUAGUCCUUUGUUUUACCCCCUUGAUUUAAAUUUUCCAGAUUUUAAUACUAGAUUAGCUGAACCAACAAGAUCAGGUGGGCCAGAGAUGAACAGUGAAAAUUUCAGGAAGGAAUUUUUCUUUUGUUAUCAUAUGUAUGUCGUGACCUGCAAAUGAUACUAAAAUCAGUGGUAAUUUUGCAUGUGGUUGAUAUUUCCAGGUGUACUUAUUUAAAUGAGGUAAUCAAUUUAAAUGAACUUGAUGCUUGAUGGCAAGAUAAAUUCAUCACUGCCAGCCUUCUCUUAUUAUAUUUUCAGCGGGGGAUAAAUUUUAAUAGAUAUGAGAAUAGAAGUGCUUUGCAGAGAACUCCCAGCAUCACUUAGACAGGUCUUGAUGAUGUAAGAAGCCACAGGUGUCUCAUUGCUGAUGAGGUUGUAGAUUUAUUAUUUGUUUUUUUGUUUGGGUUGUCUUUUUUUGGUAACAGAUUUUGCAUUGACGGGUCUCAACUUCAGUUCAAGCCACAUAAUAUUUGCUUCUGGCCACAGUGUAAGUAAUGCUCAUAUUCAACCUUUAGCAUGUAUAUGUUAAAUACCUUAGAUCCACAGAUUUUGUUUCCUUUCCUUCUUCCCAGAUGAAAUUAAAAAUUAUUCUACAACUCCAUAGCUGCAGGAACUAAGCAGUUACAGGUAUAUGAAGGAGUUUCUUUUUUUGUCCAAAGUAAAUGGAAUUAAUUCUACUACUUUUUAAAUCUACAUUACAAGAGCUCUUUUCUGAAAUCUUUCAUGCAUGUAAUACUCAAAAAAAUACAAGGGCCAGGUGCAGUUUAUUAAUUAUUUGCAAAAAAGUCAUCACAGCACUAGUCAGAUGACACUAUAUGUAUGCAAAACAUGAGUACCUGAUGACACAGUAUGUAUGCAAAAACUGUGCUGCAGGGUUACAUUUAAAAAGGUCCUUGCUGUAGGGAGGGAAGGUGCAGCAGGUGAAGAUACAGACAUUUAAUAUUAACUCCAGACAUCUAAUAUUAAUUGGAUACAAAACUGCUGAGUUCAAACUAUUAGUCUAUAGAUAUCUGAUGCAUGAAUAAAAAUUAGGCACAUUUAUUCUUACUCUUAAAAGCCUGAUUCAGCAGGGAAUUACUUUAAGUACUUUAGUAAUCCCAUUUACUUCACUGGGACUACACAUGAGCUUUAAAUUAAACAUCUGCAACAUAUCUGUGCUCAAAUAAAGCAAAGCUCCAAAGUCUGUUCUCAAGUGCUUUGCAGAAUGGAGGCAGGAUGUUUCACUGAUGAGCUCCACGCCUCACACGUUGUAUCGGAGGAGUUCACACACAGAACUGCUGUGUGGGAGGCAGAAAUACAGAAGUAAAGAUAGUACAAAUCUCAUAGUGUAGAAAUUUCAAAGGCAAGUAGGUCUUUUCUGGCUCUGUAGGAAUAGCCUCGACUUUUAUGCCAAGUUUUGUGUCUGGAGUCUAUGUUAAAGUUUUAAAACAUAGUUCUGUAUAACUUUAACACAAGUAAUUUUGCCUGACUUCUAGAACAGGAACAUAACACUUUUUCCUUAUACAUUGUAAAUCCAUGUAAGUUAGUGUAAAUACUGAAGCAGUAAUUCUAGAGGAUGUUUUUUUGAAUCUACUAUAAUAUUUGAGCAAUGCUGUGUUAUGAAUAGGUGUAUCAGUGUCAGUUCUACCUCACAGUUGAAGCUGGGACCUAGCCAGUAAGACAGUAUAUUUAAUUCCAGAGAUAUUGUGCUUACUCGGUGAAUACAGUUAUUAUUUUCCUUGCAAAAGUGCUGAUAAAGCUUAGAAAAAAAACAAAAAUACAGAUCCUCUUCUAAUUUGAAAACAGGAUGAGUAUGUUCUUUACCCAGACUUCUAUUUUCAGCAUUGUUCCAAGCAACUGAAUUAGAUUUGAAAUAAAUAUACAGUUUGUUUUUAAGGAAAUGCAGCAUUUAUGUUGAACACCUUUGUCUUUGAAGUGAUUUUAACAGUAACAGAAAUCUCUAUUCAAAUAAGGUACAGUGUGUUGAAAUGAUUUUUCUUAAAGUAGAAAGAUACUACAAUAUUUUAUUAUAGUGGAAAAAUAUGAAAUAUUGUUCCUGGAUCUUGUCAAUAUUUGGAGUUUUGUUGUUGGUUGGUUUGGGUUUUUUUUUUUUAUAUGUAUCUACAGAACAAAAAUGAGUGAAUCACUAUACCUUAAUCGAUUUAUAAAGAAGAAAAGAAUCUAACUCCUUAUUUAUUUUAUAUUAUAACACUUGAUGUGAGGAAAACUGUCAUACCGGUGAUUAAAUCAGCAUUCAGAUUAUAUAGAUUAUUAUUAUAGGAAGAUACUUAGAAAAUCAGAUUUAUCCCCAGUAAAUGUUUCCUAAAUGACGAUAGGAAAUGUGAAACUGCUGUAGUUCAAGUCUUGUUUCCUUGGGGAAGAGGGGAAAGGUUUAUGGAUUUCCCCUUUGGAGCAAAUUCCCAUUUCUGAAAAUGGCUUGUCUAGUCUUGCUUGAGCAUUUUUCUUUAGCCUAAGGAGUGUUUGUGAUGCAUUAUUUUCUUGUAGACCUCAUGAUUGUCCCAGUUGCUAUUGUCUGGACUUUACCUAAUUAUGUUAUGUUAUUAGUUGCUAAAAUGUGAUUUCAAAUACAAACCACACUAUUUGGCUAAUAUUGUGUCAUGUUAAAGUAGCAUAAUUCUCUGUGACUCCCAAAUGGCAUUAUUCCUUUUACACUGGUGCCAGGAAUUGGCAGUAUGGCAAUUCUGUUCUCCACACAACAUGAUGUGUAAAAACACAUCUUCAGUUUGUGAUUUGCUGUUGUCCUAAUCCUUUCCCAUAGAAUACCGUUUAACUAGUUGCUUGCCACUUUCUAUUAGUGAAGCUGAAUUUCACUUAGCAGGUUUUCACUAGCACACUCUUUUUUUUCUACUUUGAAAUUAUGCUCCAAAUUUAAUUUUCAGUUUUAAUUCCACAUUGAAGUUCCUCACAGGAUUUUAUUAACAGUUUGCCCUUUUGCAUGUGUAAUAACUGAACUCUUCCAAGAUCAAAGUUAUUCAUGAAGGUAUUGAAUAUUAAAACAUUUGGUACAAAUAUUUAUUUGGUACAAAUGCUUUAAUAUUCAAUAUACAUUUCAUACAUCCUUCAGGCUUGGGACUUAAUAAUUAAUGACCAUUACUUAGUAACUAUAAACCAUGUGUAGACUCUUACAACUUUACUUAAAUCACGUUUAACAAACAUCAGCAGCUUUGCUGAAGUCAAAAUAUAUAAUAUCUCUUUAAUGAAGGCUGAAACAGAAAAGCUUUUAGCACUUUGGUUUAUCUCACUGGUGUGGCUGAAAGCUUUUUCUCCCCACUGAGCAGCGGUACAGCCCUUCCCUUCACCAUCCUCCUCCUCCUCUAGGGCUGUCUGUUUCCUUUUCUGUUCCUAACUAAGACUCAUUCUGUGAUUUGCCCUUUCUGAUUUUGCCCCUGCAUACUUCUACUCUUCCCUAAAAUUCAUCCUUUAGUAAUCUGACCUGCUUUUUACUUGUGUAUACUUCUAGCGUUUCAGGAUCCUCAAAGAGUUCUCAAUUUAGUCAAGUUUAUCUCAUGAUACUCAUCUUAUUUUCCCUUUUCAUCGAGGUAGAUUCUGUUUAUGCCCUUCACACUAUUUUCACAUUAUAUUCACAUUAUAUUUACAGAUUUCUCUCUUUGGGCUUUAUAAUAAAAUAAAACCUAGUAGAGACCAAAUCUUAAGUUUGUGAGUUUUACAGGGCAGUCUUGGCAGGUACUGGCUUGAGAUAGUCUCAUGCCCCCAACCCUCUGUGCUGCCAGCACAACUGUUUCUUCAGUGAGCUGUGAUUUGGAUCAGGAAACCAAUCCAGCUUAAAAAUAAUCCAGCAAAAAGAUUUAUUUUUGUUUUGCUCUUAAAGCUGAAUCCAUUGCUCUCUUUGCAGAACAUCUAUGCAAACAAUUGCCCUAAUGCAAUUGAAAGCAUACAGAAAAGAUGGCAGCUUUACUGUUUACCUUGUUUGGGAUUCCAUUCUCUUUUUCUAGGAAUUACAAAUAACAUUUUCUCCAAAAUCUUUCACCCAAGUUGCCUUCAGUCUUGCACUUCCAGUCAAUUUUCCCGCUGUUGGUUGAAAAAGAGAUAUUCCAUAUUUGUUGUAGUCACAUACCUGCUCAAUAACAAAACUUUUCCUUGUACAACGGCCUUUCAGUAGCUGAGGGAAGGCUACAAGAAACAUGGAGACUAUCUAAAAGAGUAUGUAGUGACAGGACAAGGGGAAUUACUUCAAACUGCAAGAAUGUAGGUUUAAGUUAGAUAUAGGAAGAAAUUCUUUACUGUGAGCUUGGUGAGGCACUGUACCAGGUUGCCUGGAAAAGCUGUGGACUCCCCCAUCCUGAGAAAUGUUCAAGGCCAGGUUGGAAGUGGCUCUGAGCAACCUGGUCUAGUGGAAGGUGUCCCUGCCCAUGGUAGGGAGGUUGGAAGUGGGUGUUUUUUUAUGGACCCUUCCAACCCAAGCCAUUCUAUGAUUCUGUAUUGUAAUGAUCCUGUAGUACCUUCCCAACAGGUCCCUUGGUUGUUGAAGUCCCCCAUGUUCGCCCUGUUACGUGCUUUGAUGAUCCAGCAGCAGCACCCAAAGCUCUUGAGUCCUACAGAUUUUCAAGGUGCCUGAGGAGGACCAAAACCUGAUUGAAGCUUUUCUAAUUGUUUGGAGGAUUUGUAUUAACUCUCACAUCAGGUAAGAAUUGGGGUUGUUUCAUAUUUAUUUGUUAGAGAUGUGCAAAGCAUCUCUCUUCUGCCUUGAUGGGUACUUUGUGGCUGCGCUAUUUUUAAGUUGUAGGAAUAACAUUCUUUUGAGAUCUUAAUUUCUCUGGUAAUUUUCAUGUAAAUUAGCUAAUGAAUUAAAUAAUUUUUAUACAUAUUGCUUUAAUACCUUAGGACAAAAUAGUUCAGUGGCCUUCCUGCUCACCGUGAUGCUAUUUUUUUGAAUACCUCUAUUGAGAGUUAUAUACCACUUAUAUCUUCCCAGCAAUCUAGGCUUUUUGCCAUGUUUUAGGCCACUUAUUAAUUGAAAAUCCUCCUUUAUUAGUUAGCAUUUUCAUCACCAGUGAUUACAGACCUUCACAGAGCUCUGGUAAAAAGAAUUCCUUCAUCAAACAGACAGCUCUGCAGUGUUUCUGUCUCAUGUGACUCCAGUGAAGGAGACCAGAGCUCUGCAGAUCAGACCAGGAGACCUUUGCAGUGGUGAGAGCACCUCAAAGAAGGCAUCCAUCCCAGCUUCUGUAGGAACCACAGUUCUUCAGCUACUCCCUGGAGUUUGCAGCUCGUUAUGAUCUGCCUUGAUUUUAUCAGGCAGAUUUUAUCAGAAAUAGGGAUGAGGCCAUAUCAUACCAUAUCAUUCUGCACUCACACCUAAUUUUGUCUUAACAUGGGAUGUCCUGUGAAUUUCUUUGGUGUUUUUCUUAUAAAAAUUGAUUUUUUUAAAAUGAGUGGUGAUAAAUUAAUGUUAAAAUAGCAAUUAGAUAUGAUAUUUCUAAUUUUAAAGGACAUUUUAAAGGCUUUGGCUAAUGUCACACUCCUGUUUUGCUGUGCUGGAUCAGAACAAACAACUGUUGCAUUUCACCAAUGAAUUAGUGUUGGUGCUUUUUAUACCUCAGAUAAUUGGUUCUUCUGAGUGAAUCCAUUUGUGAAAUUAUCUGAAAGUCAUUGCCAUUUUAAAUAUGACAGUGUUUCAAGUUUGUUGCUGUUUGUUUUUUGUUUGGGUUUUUUUUUUUAGUUUAUGAUGGAGCAAAUAAGACAAGUGCUACCAGAGGUGCAAAAGCUGAGGGUUUUGAUGUUUGAUACUGAAUGUAAUAUGAAUAUUUUGGGUGCAGUAUAGUCACUUUUGAGAUAUGUUUCCAUUAACAAAGUCUGCAAUAGAGGAAUUUGGAGGACAUUAUCAUAGGUCUAAGCAGGCUGUGCUGCAAAGACCAUUAAUAGAAAGGCACUCCCUCAAUCUGCUUAAACUUGGGUGAGGAUAAUGCGGAUUACUCUGAUUUUUUGAUAAAACAGUAAAAGACAAACAGAUGCUUUUAUGCCUGAGUUGAGAAGUGCACCCUAUUGAUAAGUUUCUUCUACUUCUUCAGGAAUAUUUGUCCCAGGGAAGAAAAUUUUUCUCACCACAGCUAACAUGCAAGUCAAAUACCUUAAUGUAUUUUGAUACUUAAGUUUAUAUAAAAGAAUAUAGCAAGGGUUAGUGCAUCAUAAUCAGCCUAACCAAUGAAUUAAACCUCCCAGCUGGUAUGAGAUUUCAUUUUUUCUUCAUUUGCUUCUCUUCUAUUGGCCAUUUCAGAGCUUGUAACAUGAUGUUUUUAUAUGAUGAAGAAACCUGUUCCCUGUGUGGAUUACAAUAUCAGCCCCCUCUGCAUCCUGAAAACUGGCUUUCUUAGAAAAUGCACUUACUGUAAUACCUCAUUGCUGCAAAAUGGUUUUGUACUUGUCUGCUGAAAUUUCACUUAAAGAUUAGAUUCUGCAUUUUGGAAGACACAACCAACAAUGCAACCAACAACCAGUGUUGUGCAGGUGCAGAACAGUUUUUAUGCUCUUGUUUUGGUGAAUUCACAUGAAUUUGUGUUUGCAGCUCUGCAUGUGAAUAAGUUAUGUAUAUCUGCGUUGUGUGUUUCUGGUAAGUACAAUAUAGACAUUGGAUAAAUUAGUAUUUGCAGUAUUUUUUCCUAAAAACAAACUGUAUUAUUUGGAGAGUUUUAAGCCUUAAAUUUUGUUUAAAAGUAAGUUUUGGUUUUUAUUUCUCUAGCUGUAGAGUCUAAACCAGGUUUUGUAGUGCUUUUUAUCAAAGUAUCAUCCUUUAGAAACUGCAGUUGUCAUAGUAAGAAACAUCCUUUUAUGUAGACAUUUAUGAUCUUGUUCAAAAGGAUCUUUAUGAAAAAUUAUCCAUUAAUUGACAAUUAGUUGAAUAUUACUUUUUGUAAAUCACCUAUACUUUGUAUUAAGUAUGUAACAGUGGAAUUUAAUCUAAGAUUCUGCAGAAUAUGAAAAUAUCUCUUCUCUGAUAGUGUCUGCUCUAAUAAUGGAAUCUGUGUCCUCCUAAUAAUACACUGUAUUUAAAAACAAAUUGUCAACAACCUGCAUGGUAUUUGGUUAUGUAAGGUACAAAGCAUUUGAUUAUAUAAGGUAGAAAGUUUUUUUUUCAGCCAAUUUGAGCAGUAAAACUGAUUUUGAAAUUCCUUUAUUUCAUGUGAUAGCAUUGCAAAAAUUUUGUUCAUUCACCCACAGAUAUCUAGCUGCUGUUUUUGCUUAUAAGAAGUUCUGCCAUGAAAACAAAAAUUUAAUAGAGCUGGAGGACUGUUUCUGUGAUACAACAUGCUAAAGUUAGAAGCUGGAGUUUGCAAUUUUGUCUUCACCUGUAAGGGGAUAUAGUUUUAUGUAAGUUUGAGACUGCAGUUUUUGUCUAAUGAAACUUUAAAUCAGAUUUUAUUUUUACCAGCUAGCUGCAUAUUUGCAAAAUUAGGCCAAAUUAAAUAUUUAAAAAAUAUCAGCCAAUUUUGAAAAUUUAUGAUGUCAGGAUGUUCUUACCUUAAAUUUCAGUAACCAGAAAGGAAAUGAAUCUGGCAUCAUGCAACUUUGUGAUUCUCCAGUUCUAGUGCUGAAGAGAUGAAAAAAAUAGAAAAUGUGAUCUUUUCUGUGCUAUUUGGUGUCAGUGGCAUGUUUCUAGAUUAAAAAAAAUAAUAUUGGCAAAAUGAUAACCUUUGAAGUGUGAAAAAAUGUGCAUAUUAUUUUAAUCAGAAAUUUUGUUGGGUUUUUCAUUUGUUUGGGUUUUUAAAAUUUUUUACUCAUUUCUCUUACAAAGUCUAGCAUAGAUAGGUUGGGUUUAAUCAAUGACUGGAAGUGCCUGGCUCAUUUAGCUGGCUAUUGAAUGAGUUUCACUUUGUAAACUACUUGCCUGAUUUUGGAAAAGGUGAUCCUACGUGCACAAUUGCUUUAACAAAUACAGAAUUUCCCCCCCUUCUUUCACAGUUUUUGGGAGACACAGCUGCUGUCCACAUUUUGAAGUGUUGUGCAGAGCUGGAGCUACUGUGUUACCACUGUCUGGGUUAAGGGUUCAUUUAUAUGGGGAUAAAUAAGCUUGUGCCCCCAUAAUAAUUUGAAUUAUUUUAUGAGGUAAUACUUUUCUUUAUCUUCUUAUGGUUUUAUUUUUUUUAGAUGGAACCUAAAAAUCAUAUCUACCUAGAGUACAAAAUCUUUAACACGAUUAUUGAAAUAAGACUGUGUGUGUGCUUGAAGCUGUUAGAAUGGAAGUCUUCAAUAUGCAAGUAUGCUUGCUACCAGUAAAUUUUGUUUUAUUUCAUCCUGUCAUGCUGGGAGUGAGUGUUGAAAGACGAAUGGGCAAGUGUUGCUCAGGCAGAGGGGAGAAGCACGUCAUCCAGCCCCCAGAAUAGCAUCGGCAGUAAAUACGGUCAUGCUGUUCCUCCCCGAGAUAGACCCAGAUCACAUUCGUAGCACCCACCGGGUCUGCUGCUUACCAGACCUUCAGGCCUUUGAUGAAACAUUUACAAAUGCAGCUGCAGUUCAGAGGGAUCUUCUGCCAGCACUGAAAUAGCUGACAUCAAGAAAACGGGAGGAAACGGGAUCAGAAGGCAUGGAGUUCAAACAAAAUGCAGUUUAGGGGGAAUACACAUUUCAUCACAGUAUGAAAACACUGCUCUGAGAUAUGAACCCUGUAUUUGUUAAGACUGCUGUUUCAUGUUACCUUAGGUUUUCCAGUGACUUAGAACUGCUAAAGCAUGAAGCUUUUGUAGAGGAGGAAACGUGAACUGAAAAACAGCUCUUUGUUCAACUGUCUUGGGUCACACACAAUGUCAAAACUGAAAUUAAAAUGUAUUGUAAAGUGAAAUCAGAGAGAAGCUGAAAUUAAAUUUUUUUUUUCAAGUU
Non-coding RNA from Taeniopygia guttata (zebra finch), 10398 nucleotides. Lineage: Eukaryota; Metazoa; Chordata; Aves; Passeriformes; Estrildidae. The record is from RefSeq and is a predicted model, not a curated record.